RNAcentral lists this long non-coding RNA (455 nucleotides) under Numida meleagris (helmeted guineafowl). Its description in RNAcentral is "lncRNA (ENSNMEG00000005408.1)". Lineage: Eukaryota; Metazoa; Chordata; Aves; Galliformes; Numididae. The record is from RNAcentral.
UUCUCCAAAGUGCUCAGCUGGAAUCCUAUGAGAUCACUUGGAAGCAGCAAGAAAGGAGUGAGACUGUUCAGUGGGAAACAAUGGACUCGGCUUGCUUCAGUUUGGAAGUCGUCAUUUGACUGGCUUUAGAAAAACUAUUCUUCAAGACUAAAACCACUUGCAACAUUCAGUGUUAGCAAAGAGUGAGCUGGGCUGCAAACUAGGUAAGAUUUUUCAGAAAACAACAUGACAAGCUUAGUGGCCUGUAGUUCUUUGAGCUCACUGUCCUUCCAUUAAAAAACAGCCUGCCAAAAUGGGGUUCGCUUUUCCCAAACUGCCCUAGAUAACCUGUCUGAUAUUGGCAGGACAUGCUGCCGGACAGCUGGCUAUGAUUCAAGGAAUUUCAUCACUAUUGUGCUUUGAAGACUAAUACUAAUAAUGCAAUGGAGAUUUUAGCAAUUCUUUCUUAAAUUUCC